AUGAUACAUGCAUCACGUAUGCCAUGAGAUAUAUUAGGUUGUUGCAUUAGAAUUCACGAAUAUGUUGCAUUGCAUUAUUUGAUGUUGAUGUGGAUGGAUGUUGGAUGAUCCUUUAGUCCUCGUAUGAUAUGAUAUGAUGAUGAUACGGUAUGGAAGACUAGUGAGGCCCAUUCUACGCCCCUGGCACUAUGGUAAGAGAAAGA
This 203-nucleotide long non-coding RNA is filed under the name Manihot esculenta (cassava). RNAcentral describes it as "long non-coding RNA (MESC_LNC001178)". The record is from RNAcentral. Lineage: Eukaryota; Viridiplantae; Streptophyta; Magnoliopsida; Malpighiales; Euphorbiaceae.